This 316-nucleotide long non-coding RNA is filed under the name Gossypium barbadense (sea-island cotton). RNAcentral's name for it is "long non-coding RNA (GBAR_LNC006192)". Lineage: Eukaryota; Viridiplantae; Streptophyta; Magnoliopsida; Malvales; Malvaceae. The record is from RNAcentral.
ACCCGCAUUCUCGUCAUCACCACCCCUGUGUUUUCCAUUCUCAUCGUUUCCACCGCCGCCACCCGAGUUGUUAUUGCUGUUAAUAUCACCACCAUCGCCGCCGGCGCAGAAGGUUAAGAAAGGGGAAGAUCGGCUGUGACGGAGACAGGUGGCGGAGGAGGAAAGGCGGAGGUGGAGGUGGAGAGGGAAAGUGGUGGGGAAUUUAGGGGUGAUGGUAAGGGAAUUAGGAGAGGAAAGUGGGGAAGGGGUGAGAAGGCAGGCGGCGAUGGACAUUGGUGGCUGCAGGUGGUGUCAGAGGCGGAGUUUUGGUCAGAGA